Molecule: unclassified non-coding RNA, 423 nt
Filed under: soil metagenome
Description: partial contains 5.8S ribosomal RNA, internal transcribed spacer 2, and large subunit ribosomal RNA
Rfam family: 5.8S ribosomal RNA (bases 1-120)
Source: RNAcentral
GAUGAAGAACGCAGCGAAAUGCGAUAAGUAGUGUGAAUUGCAGAAUUCCGUGAAUCAUCGAAUCUUUGAACGCACAUUGCGCCUUCUGGUAUUCCGGAAGGCAUGCCUGUUCGAGAGUCAUUAACAACCGUUUCGAUCCCUUUCUUUCAGAAAUUACAAAGAGGAAAAGGGUUUGGUUAUGGUGGAGGAGGGAAAGGGAGCGUUUAGCCUGUAAAAAAAGAGGCUGUGUUCCGCCUCCCCCCCAAAAUUGUACAGGCGGUCGUGUGCGCCCACGCAUCGAGGUGUUGUAAAAGCUGCCACGGCACUUUUCACCUGUGCAGUGCGAGAUUGGCCAGCCGGUUUAAAAACCCCUCCAAACAAUCAAAGGUUGACCUCGGAUCAGGUAGGGAUACCCGCUGAACUUAAGCAUAUCAAAGCGGAGGA